This is a long non-coding RNA of Numida meleagris (helmeted guineafowl), 876 nucleotides long. The record is from Ensembl. NCBI's taxonomy places the organism in Eukaryota, Metazoa, Chordata, Aves, Galliformes, Numididae.
AGAUACGCAAACGCAGAGGAGGGGGAUGCAGAGUAGAGGGAGGAGAAGAAGCAAAUAGUGCAUGACCAUGGAAAUGCUGGGACCACCAAGAAGGAACCAUGACAGUCCAUACAAGGAAGAGAUUCUGGGAGUGAUGGGCUUUCAAGAAGAAUUUGCUUUUCUUGUAGGUAUCAAAGAACUUAUUGAGGGAAAAAAAGAUCCAUUGAGGACUACUGAAGGCAAAACCAAUCCUUAUCUGGAGAAAUUGAACCACAAAGGAGCUGGGAGGAGGGAAGAGUAUACUGAGAAGUAUCACCAUGUUUGCUUUGUUCUCAUACUCUUCUCUGGGCUCCUGUAGUUGGUCACUGAAGUCCUUAAUCUUGUUCUGCAGGUGAGGAACUGUGCCCAACUGGUGCUAAGGGUGGGAAGAGACUCAAGUUCCACUGAGCCAGAGGCCAGUGCUCAGCCACUGAAACCACCUCAUGGCUGGAUUCAGAGCUGCUUGGGUCAGCCAGCAGUGGGGAGCAGCUUGCACUUUCACAUGGAAGAAACAAGGAGAAUUAGUGUCUUCUACACCACAGCCUGGGUUAAACCAGCCACUGGUGGUGGUGGUGUCUGCUCUCUUCUCCCAGCAGUGGGACAGAGAUCUGCUCCUGUCAGGCAGAUGUCUUAUGUGUUGGUCUGUUUAUCUCUAUGAGACAAAGUUGUCCAGGCUGUAUCUCCACCAGUGAGAGCUGAACAAUGCCAGGGAUGAAUUUGGGUCUUGUAGAUCAUUACACUGUUGCCUUUGGCAGUACUGCAGUAUGCAGUAAGACUGAGAGUCAAUAUUGGCAGUUCUUCAUACAUUUGCUUCCUCUUGAGAAUAAAUACGCAUUGUAGAGUUCUUUACUUUUUUUC